RNAcentral lists this ribosomal RNA (484 nucleotides) under uncultured bacterium. Its description in RNAcentral is "bacterial SSU rRNA". It matches the Rfam family "Bacterial small subunit ribosomal RNA", at positions 8 to 518 of the family's 1533-position model. The record is from RNAcentral.
AGGGUUCGAUUCUGGCUCAGGAUGAACGCUGGCGGCGUGCCUAACACAUGCAAGUCGAGCGAUUCUCUUCGGAGAAGAGCGGCGGACGGGUGAGUAACGCGUGGGUAACCUGCCCUAUACACACGGAUAACGUACCGAAAGGUACGCUAAUACGAGAUAAUAUGCUUUAGUCGCAUGGCUGAAGUAUCAAAGCUCCGGCGGUAUAGGAUGGACCCGCGUCUGAUUAGCUAGUUGGUAAGGUAAUGGCUUACCAAGGCGACGAUCAGUAGCCGACCUGAGAGGGUGAUCGGCCACAUUGGAACUGAGACACGGUCCAAACUCCUACGGGAGGCAGCAGUGGGGAAUAUUGCACAAUGGGCGAAAGCCUGAUGCAAGCAACGCCGCGUGAGCGAUGAAGGCCUUCGGGUCGUAAAGCUCUGUCCUCAAGGAAGAUAAUGACGGUACUUGAGGAGGAAGCCCCGGCUAACUACGUGCCAGCCGCAGC